UGAGCAACCUGCCCUGGACUUUGGGAUAACCCUCGGAAACGGGGGCUAAUACCGGAUAUUACUGCUGGCCGCAUGGUUGGUGGUGGAAGGUUUUUCGGUCUGGGAUGGGCUCGCGGCCUAUCAGCUUGUUGGUGGGGUAAUGGCCUACCAAGGCGUCGACGGGUAGCCGGCCUGAGAGGGCGACCGGCCACACUGGGACUGAGACACGGCCCAGACUCCUACGGGAGGCA
This 230-nucleotide ribosomal RNA is filed under the name uncultured bacterium. RNAcentral describes it as "partial 16S ribosomal RNA". It matches the Rfam family "Bacterial small subunit ribosomal RNA", at positions 118 to 350 of the family's 1533-position model. The record is from RNAcentral.